This is a non-coding RNA of Drosophila melanogaster (fruit fly), 497 nucleotides long. The record is from Ensembl. NCBI's taxonomy places the organism in Eukaryota, Metazoa, Arthropoda, Insecta, Diptera, Drosophilidae.
GACUUUAUUCCGCUGAAAUAUGCCAGAGCACAGAGAGCCAUUAAACUGAUUAAUCUCAGCCAUUGACACCUCGAGGCUGUAAUUAAAGUGGCCCAAGCCGAAAGGAUUCCAUCAUAACUCGACAGCCAACGAUAUAAGCCGGGAAAAAAAUUCAACUUUCUAUUGAGCUGGCUGGCUGUCAGUAUCGGGCGGAAAUCGGUGUGCUCUACUAUAUAGACUGAACUGAAACAGAACGAGAACAUUGCCAUGUGGCAUGUGGCAGCGACACUGGCAUGGACAAAAAGUAAGUCCGACAAUUGGCAGUUUCGUAAAAUAACUUUGUUGCCGCUGCCAGUGGCCCAAAAUAGCCGACACAGCAUAUAUAACUAAUACUCCCAGUUGGCAGCUGACCACAGACCAGCCAUCCGACCAAACAUCCAACCGCCCAGCCACCCGAUCCAUUCGCCGAACCAAACCGAUGGACAAUAAAACAAAUCGAAUAGAACUUCAUUUUCUCC